This 2918-nucleotide long non-coding RNA is filed under the name Sus scrofa (pig). Its description in RNAcentral is "lncRNA (ENSSSCG00065046257.1)". Lineage: Eukaryota; Metazoa; Chordata; Mammalia; Artiodactyla; Suidae. The record is from RNAcentral.
UUUUUUUUUUUUUUUUUGUAUUUCAAUUUUUUCCCGCUGUACAGUAUGGGGAUCAAGUUAUCCUUACAUGUAUACAUUUUUUCCCCACCCUUUGUUCUGUUGCAACAUGAGUAUCUAGACAUAGUUCUCAAUGUUACUCAGCAGGAUCUCAUUGUAAAUCCAUUUGAAGUUGCAUGCGAUAACCCCAAGCUCCUGGUCCCUCCCACUCCCUCCCCCUCCCAUCAGGCAGCCACAAGUCUAUUCUCCAAGUCCAUGAUUUUCUUUUCUGAGGAGAUGUUCAUUUGUACUGGAUAUUAGAUUCCAGUUAUAAGUGAUAUCAUAUGAUAUUUGUCUUUGUCUUUCUGACUUACUUUACUCAGUAUGAGAUUCUCUAGUUCCAUCCAUGUUGCUACAAAUGGCAUUAUGUCAUUCUUUUUAAUGGCUGAGUAAUAUUCCAUUGUGUAUCUACACCACAUCUUCCUAAUCCAAUCGUCUGUUGGUUGACAUGUGGGUUGUUUCCAUGUCCUGGCUAUUGUGAAUAGUGCUGCAAUGAAGAUGCUGGUGCAUGGGUCUCUUUUAAGUGGGGUUUUGUCCAGAUAUAUGCCCAAGAGGGGAAUUGUGGGGUCAUAUGGAAGUUCUAUGUAUAGAUUUCUAAGGUAUCUCCAAACUGUUCUCCAUAGUGGCUGUACCAGUUUACAUUCCCACCAACAGUGCAGGAGGGUUCCCUUUUCUCCUACAGCACUUGUUAUUUGUGGACUUAUUGAUGAUGGCCAUUCUGACUGGUGUGAGGUGGUAUCUCAUGGUAGUUUUGAUUUGCAUUUCUCUUAUAAUCAGCGAUGUUGAGCAUUUUUUCAUUGUUUGCUUGCCAUCUGUAUAUCUUCCUUGGAGAAAUGUCUAUUCAGGUCUUUUGCCCAUUUUUCCAUUGGGUUGUUGGCAUUUUUGCUGUUAAGUUAUAUAAGUUGCUUAUAUAUUCUAGAGAUUAAGCCCUUGUCGGUUGCAUCAUUGGAAACUAUUUUCUCCCAUUCUGUAAGUUGUCUUUUGGUUUUCUUUUGGGUUUCCUUUGCUGUGCAAAAGCUUGUCAGUUCGAUUAGGUCCCAUUGGUUUAUUUUUGCUCCAAUUUCUGUUGCUUUGGGAGACUGACCUGAUGAAAUAUUCAUGAGGUUGAUGUCAGAGAGUGUUUUGCCUAUGUUUUCUUCUAGGAGUUUGAUGGUGUCCUGUCAUAUAUUUAAGUCUUUCAGCCAUUUUGAGUUUAUUUUUGUGCAUGGUGUGAGGGUGUGUUCUGGUUUCACUGCUUUGCAUGCAGCUGUCCAGGUUUCCCUACAAUAUUUGCUGAAAAGACUGUCUUUUUCCCACUUAAUGUUCUUGCCUCCGUUGUCACAGAUUAAUUGACCAUAGGUGUCUUCGUUUAUUUCUGGGUUCUCUAUUCUGUUCCAUUGGUCUGUCUGUCUGUUUUGAUACCAGUACCACACUGUUUUGAUGACUGUGGCUUUGUAGUAUUUCUUGAAGUCUGGGAAAGUUAUGCCCCCUGCUUGGUUUCAGUUCCUCAGGAUUGCUUUGGCAAUUCUGGGUCUUUUGUGGUUCCAUAUAAACUUUUGGAUUGUUUGUUCUAGUUCUGCGAAAAAUGUCAUGGGUAAUUUGAUAGGGAUUGCAUUGAUUCUGUAGAUUGCUUUGGGUAGUAUGGCCAUUUUUACAAUAUUGAUUUUUCCAAUGCAUGAACAUGGAAUAUCUUUCCAUUUCUUUACAUCUUCUUUAAUUUCCUUGAUUAAUGUUUUAUAGUUCUCAGCAUAUAAAUCCUUUACCUCCUUGGUCAGGUGUAUUCCGAGGUAUUUGAUUUUUUGAGGUGCAAUUUCGAAAGGUAUUGUAUUUUUGUAUUCCUUUUCUGAUAUUUCAUUGUUGGUAUAUAGAAAUGCAACUGACUUCUGAAUGUUAAUCUUAUAUCCUGCCACUUUGCUAAAUUUAUUAAUCAGUUCAAGUAGUUUCUGGAUUGAGUCUGUAGGGUUUUCUAUGUAUAGUGUCAUGUCAUCUGCAUACAGUGAGUUUUAUCUCUUCUCUUCCUAUUUGGAUGCCUUUUAUUUCUUUUGUUUGUCUGAUUGCUGUGGCUAAGACUUCCAAAACUAUGUUGAAGAGCAGUGGUGAGAGUGGGCAUCCCUGUCUUGUUCCAGAUUUGAGUGAGAAGGCUUUCAGUUUUUCUCCAUUGGUAUCAUAUGUGCUGUGGGUUUCUCAUAAAUGGCUUUGAUUAUGUUCAGGAAUGUUCCCUCUAUACCCACUUUUGCCAGGGUCUGGAUCAUGAAUGGAUGUUGGACUUUGUCAAAUGCUUUUUCUGCAUCUAUUGAGAUGAUCAUAUGGUUUUUGAAUUUUCUUUUGUUAACUGUGGUGUAUGACGUUGAUUGAUUUGCGUAUGCUGAACCAUCCUUGUGAACCUGGGAUGAACCCUACCUGGUCAUGGAGUAUUAUCUUUUCGAAAUGUUGUUGGAUUCGGUUGGCUAAGAUUUUGUUGAGAAUUUUUGCAUCUAUUUUCAUCAAAGAUAUUGGCCGAUAGUUUUCUUUUUUGGUGUUAUCUUUGUCUGGUUUUGGAAUUAGGGUGAUGGUGGCAUCAUAGAAUGUCUUUGGGAGUAUUCCUUCUUCUUCAACCUUUUGAAAGAGUUUAAGGAAGGAUGGGCACCAGAUCCUCUUUAUAUGUUUGGUAGAAAUGGCCUGUGAAGCCAUCUUGUCCUGGGCUUUUAUUUGUUGGGAGAGUUUUUAUGACAUAUUCAAUUUCAUUUCUAGUGAUUGGUCUGUUCAGUUGGUCUGUUUCUUCUUGAUUCAGUUUUGGCAGGCCGUAAGAUUCUAGAAAAUUGUCUAUUUCUUCCAGAUUGUCAAAUUUGUUGGCAUAUAGGCAUAUAGUUGUUCAUAGUAUUCUCUUAGGGUAUUUUGUAUUUCUGCAGUAUCCAUUGUGAUUU